This 1353-nucleotide ribosomal RNA is filed under the name uncultured bacterium. RNAcentral describes it as "bacterial SSU rRNA". It matches the Rfam family "Bacterial small subunit ribosomal RNA", at positions 28 to 1381 of the family's 1533-position model. The record is from RNAcentral.
GACGAACGCUGGCGGCGUGCUUAACACAUGCAAGUCGAACGGAAAGGCCCUGCUUUUGUGGGGUGCUCGAGUGGCGAACGGGUGAGUAACACGUGAGUAACCUGCCCUUGACUUUGGGAUAACUUCAGGAAACUGGGGCUAAUACCGGAUAGGAGCUCCUGCUGCAUGGUGGGGGUUGGAAAGUUUCGGCGGUUGGGGAUGGACUCGCGGCUUAUCAGCUUGUUGGUGGGGUAGUGGCUUACCAAGGCUUUGACGGGUAGCCGGCCUGAGAGGGUGACCGGCCACAUUGGGACUGAGAUACGGCCCAGACUCCUACGGGAGGCACCAAUGGGGAAUAUUUCCCCAGGGGGGAACCCCUAUUGCGCACCCCCCCCUUGGGGAAAAGCGCCCCCUGGGUUUAAAACCCUCUUCCCCGUGGGGCGAAGGUGAGGUACGUAUAUUGGGUAAGAAAGGCCCCGCUUAAUUACGUGCCAGCCAACCCGGGGAAUAAGUAGGGGUCCGAACUUUUUCCCGGAUUUUAUGGGGGGAAAAGGGUUCGGUAGGGGGUUGAUCGCGUCGGAAGUGUAAUCUUGGGGCUUAACCCUGAGCGUGCUUUCGAUACGGGUUGACUUGAGGAAGGUAGGGGAGAAUGGAAUUCCUGGUGGAGCGGUGGAAUGCGCAGAUAUCAGGAGGAACACCAGUGGCGAAGGCGGUUCUCUGGGCCUUUCCUGACGCUGAGGAGCGAAAGCGUGGGGAGCGAACAGGCUUAGAUACCCUGGUAGUCCACGCUGUAAACGGUGGGUACUAGGUGUGGGGUCCAUUCCACGGGUUCCGUGCCGUAGCUAACGCUUUAAGUACCCCGCCUGGGGAGUACGGCCGCAAGGCUAAAACUCAAAGGAAUUGACGGGGCCCCGCACAAGCGGCGGAGCAUGCGGAUUAAUUCGAUGCAACGCGUAGAACCUCACCUGGGUUUGACAUGGAUCGGGAGUGCUCAGAGAUGGGUGUGCCUCUUUUGGGGUCGGUUCACAGGUGGUGCAUGGCUGUCGUCAGCUCGUGUCGUGAGAUGUUGGGUUAAGUCCCGCAACGAGCGCAACCCUUGUUCACUGUUGCCAGCACGUUAUGGUGGGGACUCAGUGGAGACCGCCGGGGUCAACUCGGAGGAAGGUGGGGAUGACGUCAAGUCAUCAUGCCCCUUAUGUCCAGGGCUUCACGCAUGCUACAAUGGCUGGUACAGAGAGUGGCGAGCCUGUGAGGGUGAGCGAGUCUCGGAAAGCCGGUCUCAGUUCGGAUUGGGGUCUGCAACUCGACCUCAUGAAGUCGGAGUCGCUAGUAAUCGCAGAUCAGCAACGCUGCGGUGAAUACGUUCCCGGGGCU